RNAcentral lists this ribosomal RNA (512 nucleotides) under uncultured bacterium. RNAcentral describes it as "partial 16S ribosomal RNA". It matches the Rfam family "Bacterial small subunit ribosomal RNA", at positions 28 to 523 of the family's 1533-position model. The record is from RNAcentral.
GACGAACACUGGCGGCGUGCCUAAUACAUGCAAGUCGAGCGGAACUGGGGGAGCUUGCUCCUUCCAGUUUAGCGGCGGACGGGUGAGUAACACGUGGGCAACCUGCCCUGCAGAUCGGGAUAACUCCGGGAAACCGGUGCUAAUACCGAAUAGUUUGGCGCCUCUCCUGAGGCGCUACGGAAAGACGGUUUCGGCUGUCACUGCAGGAUGGGCCCGCGGCGCAUUAGCUAGUUGGUGGGGUAACGGCCCACCAAGGCGACGAUGCGUAGCCGACCUGAGAGGGUGACCGGCCACACGGGGACUGAGACACGGCCCAGACUCCUACGGGAGGCAGCAGUAGGGAAUCUUCCGCAAUGGACGCAAGUCUGACGGAGCAACGCCGCGUGAGUGACGAAGGUUUUCGGAUCGUAAAACUCUGUUGUGAGGGAAGAACACGUACCAACUAACUAUUGGUACCUUGACGGUACCUCGCCAGAAAGCCACGGCUAACUACGUGCCAGCCGCCGCCGUAA